This 541-nucleotide unclassified non-coding RNA is filed under the name Hevea brasiliensis (rubber tree). Lineage: Eukaryota; Viridiplantae; Streptophyta; Magnoliopsida; Malpighiales; Euphorbiaceae. The record is from RNAcentral.
AAUAUGGUGUUUGGCCCCAUGUCAUAAAUUCCUCUGCUAUAUCCAACAGUUUAGAGCGCCUACAUGAUCAAUUACAGUCAAAGAUUCGAACUUCACAUGAUAGAAUCAGAGAGUUAGUGGUGGGUGCUCAGAAUGAGAGUGAAUAUCAUGAUAAAGAUAACACUUGUACUGGCAACUUGAUGCAUCAAUCUCCUCAUCAAUCCACGAUUAAAAAUGGCAUUUCUCCUUCUAAUCACUAUAUAGACGAAUGGCAUCUGGAGCCUACUAAUAAAAUGAUGAGAUAUAGACGUGAAAUUGAUAUGGCAGACAAGACGCAUCAGCAGUUAAACAAGAACAAUUUCUCAGAUUUCUCAUUUGAUCCUUCUAGGAAGGUUGUUGGUCCUCUCUCCAACAGUUUGUUUGAUAAAGGUAAUGUGAGAACAGGAGAUGCGACCAAGGACUUGCUGCAUCCUUCCACCACACAUGAUGAGAUUGGUUCCUCAGUUUCUGAAGAGGGUCCUGGAAUAGAGGGUUUUCAGAUUAUUGGUGAAGCUACACCUGG